CUUUAUUAGAGGUGACGCCUGCCCAAUGCUUUACAUUAACUCUAACUUACACUAGAUAAACCCGAAGUCAAUGGCCGCGGUAUUUCUGACCGUGAUAAUGUAGCGAAAUCAAUCGUCACUUAAUUGCUGACCGGUAUGAAUGGUAUCACGAAUAUUCCCCUGUCUCUAGAAAAGAGUCCGUGAAAUUGAAGGGGUUGUGCAUAUACAGCCCAUUUCUUGUAAGACGAAAAGACCCUAUUGAGCUUUACUAUACGCUCCUCUCUCUAAAAAAGAUAACUCUAACCGAAGACUCUUUAAUAUAGGGGAGUGAGGUAGUUUCGUUGGGGCGACGGCCUUCCAAAAAGUAACGAAGGCUAGCAAAGAUCUCUCAAAAAUGAGAUAAAUUUGACUGCUAGGGCUAUCCCCCGCGCAGACAUAAUUGUGGGCCAUAAAUUUCCAUUCAAACUAAAAAGAGUGCCAAAACAUAAAAGUUACCAUAGGGAUAACAGCGUAAUUUUACCGAAGAGCUCCUAUCGAUGGUAAAGAUUGCGACCUCGAUGUUGAAUUGUGGUAUCCUGAGGGUGUAGCCGCUCUC
This 574-nucleotide ribosomal RNA is filed under the name Calvadosia sp. 2 LSM-2016. Its description in RNAcentral is "partial 16S ribosomal RNA". It matches the Rfam family "Bacterial large subunit ribosomal RNA", at positions 1841 to 2566 of the family's 2925-position model. The record is from RNAcentral. Lineage: Eukaryota; Metazoa; Cnidaria; Staurozoa; Stauromedusae; Kishinouyeidae.